Molecule: ribosomal RNA, 480 nt
Filed under: Neisseria flavescens
Lineage: Bacteria; Pseudomonadati; Pseudomonadota; Betaproteobacteria; Neisseriales; Neisseriaceae
Description: bacterial SSU rRNA
Rfam family: Bacterial small subunit ribosomal RNA
Source: RNAcentral
AUUGAACGCUGGCGGCAUGCUUUACACAUGCAAGUCGGACGGCAGCACAGAGAAGCUUGCUUCUUGGGUGGCGAGUGGCGAACGGGUGAGUAAUAUAUCGGAACGUACCGAGUAAUGGGGGAUAACUAAUCGAAAGAUUAGCUAAUACCGCAUAUUCUCUGAGGAGGAAAGCAGGGGACCUUCGGGCCUUGCGUUAUUCGAGCGGCCGAUAUCUGAUUAGCUAGUUGGUGGGGUAAAGGCCUACCAAGGCGACGAUCAGUAGCGGGUCUGAGAGGAUGAUCCGCCACACUGGGACUGAGACACGGCCCAGACUCCUACGGGAGGCAGCAGUGGGGAAUUUUGGACAAUGGGCGCAAGCCUGAUCCAGCCAUGCCGCGUGUCUGAAGAAGGCCUUCGGGUUGUAAAGGACUUUUGUCAGGGAAGAAAAGGCUGUUGCUAAUACCGACAGCUAGAUGACGGUACCUGAAGAAUAAGCACCGG